Molecule: long non-coding RNA, 939 nt
Filed under: Capra hircus (goat)
Lineage: Eukaryota; Metazoa; Chordata; Mammalia; Artiodactyla; Bovidae
Description: lncRNA (ENSCHIG00000005973.1)
Source: RNAcentral
GGGGCUCCUGGCAUCCACUGCUGGCUCUGUCGGUGAUGCUUGGGCCUCUGACCAUCUUAGAUGGUCCGUCAGCAAUCUGGAGCCUCCCAGCUGCAGCCCUGGGUCCAUAUGGCAGAGUGACUGCCUGCCAGAUAUGUGUAAAUGCCCCAGCAGAAGUCACCAGAUCCAUAGCUGGAGGGAGCAGAGGGUAUGACUCCUUUCUCAGAGCUGAGUGAGGUCAGGGCAGCCUCACGUCUUCACUGGGGACCGGGCUGAAGGCUCAGAGAGGCUGGGCAAGCCAGAAGGAAUGGAAAGAGCCUUGAGGCGGGAUGGUGUCAUGAUAACCUGACUCCCUGCCCAGGGUUGUCCUGGAGAAGCCUCUUACCUUGUGCGGGGAGGACUUCAUGUCACAUUCCAGGAGAUGAUGGUACAUCCUACCACACUGACGGUAAACAAGGGCAUCAGCUUCGAGCUGCGGGAAAGAAAGCCUCUGCGGAGAGGAAGACUGCAAUUUGAAGUUUGCAGAGCCCUGGAUGGCAGUGGUGGUGAUUGCACCACCAGGGUCACGCCAUGUGCCCCCUGUCCUGCACGCUCACCUGGACCCUGCUCUAGGAGACGCGGGUGUCCUCAGAGCCACCCCUUCGGCUCUCCCCCAGCGCCAGGAUCCGGGCACAGGUGUUCACGUGGAGAUGGUUCCAGCAUGGAAACACAGCCCUUCCCCACUCUGGGUACAAGCUCAGGCCAGGGCUCUGUCUUCUGAGUCACAUUUGGGAGGGUAAAAGCACACCCAUGUUCCGUAAAUGCUUCUCGGGGGGCGUGGGAUUGUCACAGGGACUGAAGGACCAGCCUUGGCUUGGGUCGGGCUUGAAAAGAGACAGGAAAAGUCACCUGGAAAAGGACUUUGGAAAAUAAAGAAAGGAAAGGCGGUUUAAAGAGACUCAUGUGUAGGUUUCAGAAGCA